GUUUGGCUGUUUUUAUCGACCCCCCACCCACGUGAUUUCCUGUAAAUAUCACGCGUAAAAGCGAAACAGAAAGUAGACAGUUGGAAAUCCCCAUUUUGUGAACAGACGCACUGACACAAGCCGGUGCUGAAGUGUGUGACGUCAAUCAAAAAUGGCUUCGAAUAAUAAACAAAAACUGCAGAGACCAGAGUCACCAGAUUCCAGCAGUGAGUCGGAGGAGAGUGUUUUGUCACGAUUAACUCGUCUGGGAUUCUACCAUGAAUCCUACGAUCAACUAUGCUUCUUGCCGUUGCGAGAAGUCCUUCGACCCUCUCUACCGUCGGCUGUUUCCCUGAGGAGUGACAAUUCCAAAGGCAUGCCCCCAGACUUCAGAGAACCAGGCCCAUACUCACCAUUGGCUGUUUCCCUGAAGAGUGACUAUUCUAAAGGCAUGCCCCCAGACUUCAGAGAACCAGGCCCACACUCAAGCCCAUGUGUGUCUUUCUGCCCUCACUUGUCCACCAACCAAAUCCUCUGGUUUCUGUGCAUUCUGACCAAUGCUCCAUGGUGGUAGUCAGGGGCGAGGCUAGGCCUAUUUUAGGGGUACUCAAGCACCCCUAAAAUUAAUUCAAGCACCCCUAAAAAUGCCAGGCCAAAAAUAUAAUAACAGAAAUAAAGUCCACACUAAAACGUAUUAUGUACUUCUAUAAUAUAUUUCUGGGUUGAUUUAUUAAAAUAUGUGUAUUUAAAGAAAUAAAGCAUAAACACCCCUCUUCACUAAAUGAUUUGGUCUGAUGUCUCGUUGCUGUAGCUCCGCCCCCUCUCCUCACAGCGCUGUCGCCUCAGACUCUCUCUCUCUGCUCUGUCUCUCCGUGGAGUUUAAACUUUGGUGCUGGU
RNAcentral lists this long non-coding RNA (876 nucleotides) under Neogobius melanostomus (round goby). Its description in RNAcentral is "lncRNA (ENSNMLG00000012045.1)". Lineage: Eukaryota; Metazoa; Chordata; Actinopteri; Gobiiformes; Gobiidae. The record is from RNAcentral.